GGCAAGACAAAAAAUUUGAAAUUUCCUGUGGGGGGUGAAGGGGGGAAAUUGAGCAUAUUGAUUUGGAACUGCCAUAUUUCAUCCUGACAGUGCUGCAACCCUUUGUUUUAACAACAGUGUUUUGUUCCAGUUCUUAUCGAUAUGUAUGUACCAUCCCUGAUUAGAUAUUUCAGUACUUCCCAAAAGCAUCCCAACCUUUUUCCUGUCAGAAAACAUCAGUGAAGUGGGAAACACUACUGUGAAAUAUUUUGAUGAGGAAUAGAAGGACACUGUUGCAGUAAAAAUGUUCUAGCCAUCUCUAGCUUUUUUACUGGCACAGUCAUUAAGUUUUACCCUCUUUAAUGGAAAAUGGGCAGAUUAAUGGUUUUGAACAGCAUGCCUCGGUGGGAAGGUACACCACUGCAAGGUCAAAGGCCCUGGACUCCUCGGGCAGGCAGGCUCAGCUCCCAUACUGCCAAAAGCAAGGGGUCCCUGCCUGGAGGUGUCUGUCCCCAUGCCAUCAACCUCAAUGCACCAGACUCCAGUCCAGCUAGGGCUGAAUUACGCUAUUUGUGCCUGUACAUAGAUAGUGCUAGCUUCCCCCUAAGGCCCCCCGCUCUGCCUCAGCAUGGGUCCCAGGAGAACUUGUUUGCUUUGAAGGGUCAAGCUCCUGCCCUUCCAGCCAGCAUGGGGCAAGCUGCCCAUACCAAGCUCUUCCUGGCCAUUUCACAGAAACAUCCCAGUGCAAACACAUAUCAUCUCCCCUGUGUGCCAGUAACCUUCAUGGGAAGGUGUGUAAACCACAGGGAUCCACCAGGAAGAGACCCACCCUUCCUACCCUUGCAGCUGUGCAAUGAAAAUAUCCAGACCUCCUUAACACAUGUGCUCUUUGGGACUUCUCCGCCUCAUCUUCAUAUAAAUAAACAUAGGAAAUGGUUGGUUGCCAGUACCCUAAUGAAAGCUAAUGAGCCCUUGCCCAGCUCUGCAGGACAGGGAGGACAGCUGUCCUCUGCCACAAGGACAGCAUUAAAGCCACUCUUCAGGAGAUGGAGGCUACUUCUGGAGUCCUUGACAGGUUUUCAUGCCCAGGUGGGAUUUCAGGCUUCCACAGGUGCAUUUCCCUCCCUUUCGCUCCAUGUGAAUCCUAUUGGGGUAGCACAUGGGUCCAAGAGGGAC
RNAcentral lists this long non-coding RNA (1155 nucleotides) under Strigops habroptila (Kakapo). RNAcentral describes it as "lncRNA (ENSSHBG00005003329.1)". Lineage: Eukaryota; Metazoa; Chordata; Aves; Psittaciformes; Psittacidae. The record is from RNAcentral.